GUUUGAACAUUGAGAAUCUGAACCAACAGCAACCAUGAGCUUCAUCACCAUCUUCAUCUGGAUAUUAACUGUCUACUGUUUCACAGAAUCAAGAGGUGAAGUGACAGUCACUCAGACGCCUGCAGUGAAAUCUGUUCGUCCAGGAGACUCAGUUACUGUAUCCUGUAAAACCAGUCCUGACGUCUAUCAGGGUUGGGGUGUUCAGCCUCUAUCCUGGUACUUACAGAAACCUGGAGAAGCUCUUAAACUUCUGAUUUAUUAUGCAAACACCCUCCAGUCAGGAACUCCAUCUAGAUUCAGUGGCAGUGGAUCUAACAGAGAUUUCACUCUGACCAUCAGUGGAGUCCAGACUGAAGAUGCUGGACAUUAUUACUGUAUGAGUGGACACUAUCCAAACAGUCAAUAUGUGUUCACACAGUGAUAAAGAGUCGUACAAAAACCUCCGUCAGUCAGAGUCAGAGUGACUGAACUGAUACUGCAGCUGCUCACACACUUUCACACACUUUCACACACUACUGACACACAGAGGACAAACACAGGAACUACACAUGUGCUCAAAACUGACUUAUGACUGAAAUUCGCUCUAUUUGAUUGUGAUCUGUCCUGUGACAGACGGGUUUGACUCAAAUAUGCUCAGAAUCAGAGAAAACAGAGUGUGUAAAUUAAUAUGAAAUCAAAUUAACAAU
Megalobrama amblycephala (Wuchang bream) is the source of this 686-nucleotide non-coding RNA. The record is from the annotation of a RefSeq genome assembly. Lineage: Eukaryota; Metazoa; Chordata; Actinopteri; Cypriniformes; Xenocyprididae.